ACGGAAGGCAGCAGCUAAGAAUAUUCCGCAAUGGACGAAAGUCUGACGGAGCGACGCCGCGUGGAUGAUGAAGGCCGGAAGGUUGUAAAAUCCUUUUAUAACUGAGGAAUAAGUAUUAUCAGAGAAAGGUAGUAUGGUGACUGUAGGUUAUGAAUAAGCAACGGCUAAUUACGUGCCAGCAGCCGCGGUAACACGUAAGUUGCGAGCGUUGUUCGGAAUUAUUGGGCGUAAAGGGCAUGUAGGCGGUUUUGCAAGCUUGGUGUGAAAUCCCGGAGCUCAACUCCGGAAUUGCGUUGAGAACUGCGUAACUAGAGUCACUGAGGGGCAAUCAGAAUUCCAGGUGUAGGGGUGAAAUCUGUAGAUAUCUGGAAGAAUACCAAUGGCGAAGGCAGGUUACCAGCAGAUGACUGACGCUGAGGUGCGAAGGUGCGGGGAGCAAACAGGAUUAGAUACCCUGGUA
This 460-nucleotide ribosomal RNA is filed under the name uncultured Treponema sp. RNAcentral describes it as "partial 16S ribosomal RNA". It matches the Rfam family "Bacterial small subunit ribosomal RNA", at positions 341 to 792 of the family's 1533-position model. The record is from RNAcentral. Lineage: Bacteria; Pseudomonadati; Spirochaetota; Spirochaetia; Treponematales; Treponemataceae.